GGUGAACGCUAGCGGCGUGCUUAACACAUGCAAGUCGAGCGGUAAGGCCCUUUCGGGGGUACACGAGCGGCGAACGGGUGAGUAACACGUGGGUGACCUGCCUUCAGCUCUGGGAUAAGCCUGGGAAACUGGGUCUAAUACCGGAUAUGACUCCAUGAUGCAUGUUGUGGGGUGGAAAGCUUUUGCGGCUGGAGAUGGGCCCGCGGCCUAUCAGCUUGUUGGUGGGGUGA
Molecule: ribosomal RNA, 230 nt
Filed under: uncultured bacterium
Lineage: Bacteria
Description: partial 16S ribosomal RNA
Rfam family: Bacterial small subunit ribosomal RNA
Source: RNAcentral